CAGCGACGCUGAGAGAGAUUGACGGAAGCCAGUGAAGCGCGUGAGAGAAGCGGAGCCGAUUUCCGUCACCGCCACCGCACCCAGUCGCCACCGGUGGAGCUCGCUGUCCCUGGAGGUGAAUCGGUGUCGUGUCCUUGCUGCCAGGGCCACCAGCGUUACUGCUACUCCUCAAAUUCCACUUCUUUUCCUUUGGGGGUUUCUACCGCAAAUUCCACCCCCAACAUCACCAUCCUUCUUGUAUUCGUUGGGGAAUUUCUUACUUCUUAGUUUUCUGAUUUUUCAGAGCUGAAUAUGAUCCUAAGAGUGACUUAUGGGAUCAAGAGUUCAUGCUGAGAGGGAAAUGGUAUCAACGGAAGGAUGUAGAGGUAAAGUUUGCAAUCCAAUACAUGCGAAGAGCAAUUCAAAAGCUUUUGGGUUGCACUGAAGAAAAUCCAGAAGAAGGGAAAGGGUGCUGCCUAAUUGUUCUAUUCUCAUACUUGUAUUUUGGAUGAGAUGAAAUGAGUCUUAUAAUGACUUUAGUUAUCUACAUGUAAUAUUUUGAUGUCUUGUGUACUUUUUGAAGUGAGAUUUUACGUGUUAUUACAUGUAAUGGAUAAUUACACUCUAUUUUUAUUUGUGUUGUUUGGACUAAAAACAUAUCUAGCUUAUAAUAAAACUUUUAUGAUUUAGAUU
Arachis ipaensis is the source of this 672-nucleotide non-coding RNA. NCBI's taxonomy places the organism in Eukaryota, Viridiplantae, Streptophyta, Magnoliopsida, Fabales, Fabaceae. The record is from RefSeq and is a predicted model, not a curated record.